UACAAACAUACCUAACAAUUGUUUUUUUUUUCUUUUUACCUAAGCUUUGGUGCAUUAAGUAUUAAAAGUAGCAAGAGUUACAAUGGAGCAAAAAUGUGCUUUUGAAGACUCUAGAAGAUGAAAACAAAAGUGAUUGGUGCGGUUUAAAAACGUUGGAAAAUCCUUAUAGUGUGGCCCAUAUUAGAUUGUUGAGGCAAGGCCCAACAAAGUGGCACCUUAACUGAGAUCCAGAGAAGGAUAACGAUUGGAUUGCAAGGAAUAGCGAAGCCCAUGUAGUGAAAGUCAAAUUUUCCGAGUAUGGCGAGAAGAUGUAUGAUCGCCUGAAGAGGGAGAUUGGAAGCUGCAUGCAUUUUCUCAAUAGGUGAAAAACGAUCGGAUCAAAAGAGGGAAACCAAAACUGAAUGCAAUUACUGGAGCCGACUGGAUCUGAAUCUCUGAAGGAUGAGAUCCUGUCUUAAAUCAAAGCAGAGAUGUGGUCGCCGAUUAGUUAAGUCGAUUUGAAGAUUCGAUUGUGGAGUCAUUGAUUUCGCUAGGCCUGGCAAGCUAAAAGUGAGAGAUAUCGAAGAUUCUGGUCACCAGAGAGAGAGAUCAGACCAGAGAUAGUACCUUCCCAUUGAUCAGAAGCGAGGUUGAGGUGUAGAUUAGAGUUGGAGGGCCCCGAAAACAAUUAAUCUAAGUGACUUCACCGACAUAAACGAAAAAGAUAAUCAUCUUUUAAGUUGAAGAACUUCAUCUAUCUUUCGUAUGUCGAUCCUUAGAGGUCUUGAUCUUAAAGUAUGUGUUGAGAGAAAAGAAUUUCAAAGUACCCACGGUGAUAGAGUGAACGAAUCGACAUACUGCAAAUUUCAGGACAGUGACGGUUGAACUUGAUAUCAAAGGACAAUAAAGAUGAGCCUUAAGUUGACCCAGAUAGAGACCAAAUAUCUUUUGUUGCAUAACAGGUAAUUUUAAAGCUUUGGUAUAGUAAUUGAUAGGGCAAGAUAAGUUACCGAUUCAUCUGUUGUUGCUGUACAUUACAAACGUCUAGAAAGAGAAGUUACUGAUGCAUCAGUUAGAACCAUUUCAAGUGACACUCCCCCAUAGGAGGUGUUUUGUUUCCACGUAUGUAAGCAUUUAACUUGAACUCACCAUGAUGUUUUAAAAGGUUUGAGAUUUUUGAGAAGAGUAAAAAUUGUUUUCUUAGACA
Molecule: long non-coding RNA, 1186 nt
Organism: Brassica napus (rape)
Lineage: Eukaryota; Viridiplantae; Streptophyta; Magnoliopsida; Brassicales; Brassicaceae
Exons: 3
Source: RefSeq, a predicted model, not a curated record